UACGUAGGGGGCAAGCGUUGUCCGGAAUCAUUGGGCGUAAAGCGCGUGUAGGCGGUUCGGUAAGUCUGCUGUGAAAGUCCAGGGCUCAACCCUGGGAUGCCGGUGGAUACUGUCGGACUAGAGUACGGAAGAGGCGAGUGGAAUUCCCGGUGUGGCGGUGAAAUGCGCAGAUAUCGGGAGGAACACCAAUUGCGAAGGCAGCUCGCUGGGACGUCACUGACGCUGAGACGCGAAAGCGUGGGGAGCAAACAGG
RNAcentral lists this ribosomal RNA (253 nucleotides) under uncultured bacterium. Its description in RNAcentral is "partial 16S ribosomal RNA". It matches the Rfam family "Bacterial small subunit ribosomal RNA", at positions 524 to 776 of the family's 1533-position model. The record is from RNAcentral.